GAUGAACGCUGGCGGCGUGCCUAAUACAUGCAAGUCGAGCGAACAGACGAGGAGCUUGCUCCUCUGACGUUAGCGGCGGACGGGUGAGUAACACGUGGAUAACCUACCUAUAAGACUGGGAUAACUUCGGGAAACCGGAGCUAAUACCGGAUAAUAUAUUGAACCGCAUGGUUCAAUAGUGAAAGACGGUUUUGCUGUCACUUAUAGAUGGUUCCGCGCCGCAUUAGCUAGUUGGUAAGGUAACGGCUUACCAAGGCAACGAUGCGUAGCCGACCUGAGAGGGUGAUCGGCCACACUGGAACUGAGACACGGUCCAGACUCCUACGGGAGGCAGCAGUAGGGAAUCUUCCGCAAUGGGCGAAAGCCUGACGGAGCAACGCCGCGUGAGUGAUGAAGGUCUUCGGAUCGUAAAACUCUGUUAUUAGGGAAGAACAAAUGUGUAAGUAACUAUGCACGUCUUGACGGCACCUAAUCAGAAAGCCACGGCUAACUACGUG
This 497-nucleotide ribosomal RNA is filed under the name uncultured bacterium. RNAcentral describes it as "partial 16S ribosomal RNA". It matches the Rfam family "Bacterial small subunit ribosomal RNA", at positions 28 to 507 of the family's 1533-position model. The record is from RNAcentral.